This 501-nucleotide ribosomal RNA is filed under the name uncultured bacterium. RNAcentral's name for it is "partial 16S ribosomal RNA". It matches the Rfam family "Bacterial small subunit ribosomal RNA", at positions 30 to 523 of the family's 1533-position model. The record is from RNAcentral.
AUUGAACGCUGGCGGCAGGCUUAACACAUGCAAGUCGAGCGGAGAUGAGGUGCUUGCACCUUAUCUUAGCGGCGGACGGGUGAGUAAUGCUUAGGAAUCUGCCUAUUAGUGGGGGACAACAUUCCGAAAGGAAUGCUAAUACCGCAUACGUCCUACGGGAGAAAGCAGGGGAUCUUCGGACCUUGCGCUAAUAGAUGAGCCUAAGUCGGAUUAGCUAGUUGGUGGGGUAAAGGCCUACCAAGGCGACGAUCUGUAGCGGGUCUGAGAGGAUGAUCCGCCACACUGGGACUGAGACACGGCCCAGACUCCUACGGGAGGCAGCAGUGGGGAAUAGUGGACAAUGGGGGGAACCCUGAUCCAGCCAUGCCGCGUGUGUGAAGAUGGCCUUAUGGUUGUAAAGCACUUUAAGCGAGGAGGAGGCUACUGAGACUAAUACUCUUGGAUAGUGGACGUUACUCGCAGAAUAAGCACCGGCUAACUCUGUGCCAGCCGCCGCAGUAA